Molecule: long non-coding RNA, 1288 nt
Filed under: Canis lupus familiaris (dog)
Lineage: Eukaryota; Metazoa; Chordata; Mammalia; Carnivora; Canidae
Description: lncRNA (ENSCAFG00000050251.1, ENSCAFG00805000515.1, ENSCAFG00845003907.1)
Source: RNAcentral
AAGCUGAAUUUCCUUCUGAGCUGAGACCCAGAGAGCUCUUCAGGGUGAGGGCUAUGGAAACCAGAUGAAAUUUGUCCCUAAUGGGGGUUCUGUGGAAGCUCAGCAAAUAGUUCUAUCAAAUUAGCAGGCCCAAUGGACACAAGGGAACAGAUUUCUUCCUGAGCCUGGGCCCUGCUAUCCCUCGUCCCUUGGAAAUCAGAUUAUCAGGAGGGCAGGGCCAGGGAGGAAUUGAACUAACAUAAUUAUGAGCCCUGGCUUGUCCACCUCAGCCUGGGAAUAGGGCAGGGAGGAGGGGAUGCAGAGGGGAGACAGAGCCUCUCUCAGAAAGCUGCAAAUCCAAGAAAAUAGAUAGGAUCAGCCUGUUCCUGCUGCAGAGCCCCAUCUCCACCAUCCCAUCUUGGGAUUAGUUGUCUCAUCACCACGCUGUUCCCAUGUAUGUCAACAACAGAGGCUUCUGUCCUCCCUUGGAGAGCAGUGUGGUCAUUCCUUUUACAACUUUGAUACCAUCUAGUCUUGGCUUGAAUCUCUCUAAUGAUGGGGUUUUUGUUACCCAUUAAGGCCUUCUACUCCACUAUUGAUUCAAAAGCAGCCAACUCUAGGCAAGACCAUUGAUAUCUGGUCUUAUAUUUGUCACAAACCGGACACACAAAUUUUGGUCCCAAUUUUCCCAUCUACAAAUGAAAUAUGUGGUUUUGUGGUAGGCAUUGUGUUCAUGUUCUCAAUGUCCUUCCAGCCUCUCCCACUGUGAAGCAAGUUGUGAUGUUCUAGGUGAACUCUGACUUAUCAAAAUACAUCAGCCCAGCACCAUGCCGUAGGAGUUAUUAUGGCCAUUGUGGUCCAAAGAGAGAAACUGAGACUUACAGAAGUGGCAUUUUAAAGUCACACAACUGGGGCACCUGGGUGGCUCAGUCAGUUAAGGGUCUGACUUCAGCUCGGGUUGUGAUUCUGGAGUCCUGGUAUUGAGCCCUGCAUUGGGAGCCCUGCAUGCUCUGUCCUUCACUUUUCUCUCUCAAAUAAAUAAAUAAAAAUAAAUAAAUAAAGUCACACAACUGGGGUAUCUGGCUGGCUCAGUCAGUGAAGAGUGCAACUCUUGAUCUCAGGGUUGUAGGUUCAAGCCCAACAUUGGGUGUAAAGAUUACUUAAAAAAAAAAAAAAAUUCUGGGCAGCACUGGUGGCCCAGAGGUUUAGCACUGCCUUCAGCCCGGGGUGUGAUCCUGGAGACCCGGGAUCGAGUCCCACAUCAGGCUCCCUGCAUGCAGCCUGCUUCUCCCUCUGCCUGUGUCUCUGC